UACGUAGGCGGCGAGCGUUGUCCGGAAUCAUUGGGCGUAAAGAGCGUGUAGGCGGCUCGAAAAGUCUGGUGUGAAAACUGGAGGCUCACCCUCCAGCUGUCGCUGGAUACUGUCGGGCUUGAGUCCGGAAGAGGAGAGUGGAAUUCCUGGUGUAGCGGUGGAAUGCGCAGAGAUCAGGAGGAACACCAAUGGCGAAGGCAGCUCUCGGGUACGUGACUGACGCUGAGACGCGAAAGCGUGGGGAGCGAACAGG
This 253-nucleotide ribosomal RNA is filed under the name uncultured bacterium. Its description in RNAcentral is "partial 16S ribosomal RNA". It matches the Rfam family "Bacterial small subunit ribosomal RNA", at positions 524 to 776 of the family's 1533-position model. The record is from RNAcentral.